Molecule: long non-coding RNA, 725 nt
Organism: Protopterus annectens (West African lungfish)
Lineage: Eukaryota; Metazoa; Chordata; Ceratodontiformes; Protopteridae
Exons: 3
Source: RefSeq, a predicted model, not a curated record
UUUUUUUAUAGCUACGCGACCGUGCUCUCGCGGCCACAAACAUUUCGCCCCGUAGCCGCUGUCUCUAGACAGCAGAAACUAGCGCUGUUGACCAUAAUCCAGUAGAGAGGAUUUUUGGUAUGAAGUGGCGCAGGCGCUGUAUUCUAGUAACUGUAUCAUCUACACUUCCGCGCUGCAACCGGCCUGAAUUGUCAUAUUGGAUUAUCGCUUGUAUCAUAUGUAGUGGAAGGUUGGUUCAGUAGAUUCACCGUGAAGUUGAACUAAAACGCUAGAAACGAUGCUGUGACACGGUUUCAAAUGCUUCGUAGGAGUAACCGGCAAGAUGUCAGAUCACUAAGGGACAGCUGCGGCGUACUAGAGUGGUGAGAAACGACCAGGAAGCAGACGGGAGGACCAAAACACGCCAUUUGAACUUUUCUUCAGCAAUGGCAUCUGAUCAAAGAGAUGGAAACAGUGUGCAGGAAGACCUGAAGCAGGAGCCACUUUGCUGUUCAUUUGCAGUUUAUGAUGCUGGGAAAUGUUGUGACUAUGGUCAACUACCCAGGAGCCGAACCAAAUCCCGCAGUCUUUCUGCUAGUCGUCCUGCUGCAUUAGAGAACCCUAAAAUAUUCAGAAGGACACAGUCUCUUCAUGGACCCUGCCCAGUAACAAAGUUUGGACCAAAAGCUUGUAUGCUGCAGAACCCCAAGACUGUAAUGUAAGUACUGUUGCUUUAAUUUUGUUAU